GCAGGGAGCAGUGGCGAGGCGCAGGGGCUAGAGUUGAGGAGGAGGGGGGCGAGACGCCGGCCGGAGUCAAGGAGGAGGAGGGCCGCAGAAUCGAGGGGAGGGCCAACGGUGGCAACAGAGUUCCUAGAGGAGCAGGUCAGUGGUUACUUCGUGGAGUUCGACGACGACAGCUUCGACGUUUAGCCAGCAGAUUCCAGAGCAGGGUUCUGUGAACUUGUGGCGGGCUCUCCUUCCAGUUUCGGCCUCUUAGGCAAUAAAUGUAACUUGUCCGUACUCGGGCCUAAUUUGCUUCCGCUGGUAUAAUGAUGAUUGUGGACAUGUGUCCGUGAGUUGUAAUAACUUGGUAUUUCGCUCCUUGUAUGAGCUUGACUUAAUCUUGUGUUUUAGAGUGAUGUAAUGUUAUCAUUUUUGUUCCAACCUGCGAUGAA
This is a long non-coding RNA of Brachypodium distachyon (stiff brome), 428 nucleotides long. RefSeq lists it as uncharacterized. The transcript has 2 exons. Lineage: Eukaryota; Viridiplantae; Streptophyta; Magnoliopsida; Poales; Poaceae. The record is from RefSeq and is a predicted model, not a curated record.